CAAUAGCGUAUAUUAAAGUUGUUGCGGUUAAAAAGCUCGUAGUUGGAUUUCUGCUGAGGAUGGCCGGUCCGCCCUGUGGGUGUGCAUCUGGCUCAGCCUUGGCAUCUUCCUGAAGAACGUAGUUGCACUUGACUGUGUGGUGCGGUAUUUAGGACAUUUACUUUGAGGAAAUUAGAGUGUUUCAAGCAAGCGCACGCCUUGAAUACAUUAGCAUGGAAUAAUAAGAUAGGACCUGGUUCUAUUUUGUUGGUUUCUAGAGCUGAGGUAAUGAUUGAUAGGGAUAGUUGGGGGCAUUCGUAUUUAACCGUCAGAGGUGAAAUUCUUGGAUUUGUUAAAGACGGACUACUGCGAAAGCAUUUGCCAAGGAUGUUUUCAUUGA
RNAcentral lists this ribosomal RNA (379 nucleotides) under uncultured eukaryote. Its description in RNAcentral is "partial 18S ribosomal RNA". It matches the Rfam family "Eukaryotic small subunit ribosomal RNA", at positions 592 to 976 of the family's 1831-position model. The record is from RNAcentral.